GAAACGGCUACCACAUCUAAGGAAGGCAGCAGGCGCGCAAAUUACCCAAUCCUGACUCAGGGAGGUAGUGACAAGAAAUAACAACACUGGAAAUUUGAUUUCUAGUGAUUGGAAUGAUGGGAAUCCAAACCCCUUUCAGAGUAACAAUUGGAGGGCAAGUCUGGUGCCAGCAGCCGCGGUAAUUCCAGCUCCAAUAGCGUAUAUUAAAGUUGUUGCAGUUAAAAAGCUCGUAGUUGGAUGUCUGUUGGAAGCAAUCAUCAGUCCGCCCUAUUUGAUUAGGGUGUGAAUAUGAUGAAUUCCGGCAUAAUUGUCUCCCUAUUGUUAAUAUUUUGAUUGUUAGAUUCAUUUCUAACAAUACGAUUAUUAAUAAUAAGGGGGAAAUGUUACUUUGAGAAAAUUAGAGUGUUUGAAGCAGGCUUUUGUUGCCUUGAAUACUGCAGCAUGGAAUAACAAUAUAGGAUUUCGGUUCUAUUUUGUUGGUUCUUUUUUUAGGACUGAAAUAAUGAUUAAUAGGGACAGUUGGGGGCAUUCGUA
This 534-nucleotide ribosomal RNA is filed under the name Sarcocystis miescheriana. RNAcentral's name for it is "SSU rRNA". It matches the Rfam family "Eukaryotic small subunit ribosomal RNA", at positions 400 to 896 of the family's 1831-position model. Lineage: Eukaryota; Apicomplexa; Conoidasida; Eucoccidiorida; Sarcocystidae. The record is from RNAcentral.